GUCUAUAGCCUUGCUACCCUGACCAAGCCCGAUUCUGUCUGAUCUCAGAAGCUAAGCAAGGUCAGGCCUGGUUAGUACUUGGAUGGGAGACCACCUAGGAAGACCAGAUGCUAUAGGCG
Molecule: ribosomal RNA, 119 nt
Filed under: Pteropus alecto (black flying fox)
Lineage: Eukaryota; Metazoa; Chordata; Mammalia; Chiroptera; Pteropodidae
Source: RNAcentral